GACGAAGACUUCCGUCGCCGCAGGCAGAACGCACUCCCUGGAAUCGCCCUGCACCAGCGCUACCUGAGGAACUCCGCCCAAAACCCCUCGGAGGAAGAGGAGGAGCACGGCCUACAGAGUCUGGGACUAACAAGAGGACACACGGACACCAAGAGGAAGAAACUGUGGCCGAAGGAGGCCGAGUCCAAAAAGAAAAGAGCUGCUCGACACUUCCCUCGGUUUGGUGGACUCGGAGCCUUUUUUUAAACACACACACACACACACACACACACACACACACACACACACACACACACACAUGAAUAUGUAUAGUUGUCGGCAGAAGCGCCAUCCAUGAUUAGUGUAAUAUUGCGGUGCAGGUUAGGGUUGGGGUCAGAGGUCGGCCUGCAGAGAUCUCACCUUCAUGUUGUGUUUUUGUCCAAGAAACAUUUUUAGUAGUGAAGCUUUUUUUAAUCGCUGUAUUUAUUGUGGGUGGGCCCGACGGAUGUAAAGUGACACGUUUAGACACUUAAUCUCCCGUGAUUGGACUUCUUGUCUUUUUAAUUUUGUGUUUGAAUUUUAGGCCGGAGCAGAAUUCAAGCAGCCGUCUUGUUUUUUGAUACGAUGGAACAAUAACUGGGGUGAUAGCGUGAAUAGAAAAGAACAGGCGAAGGUCAAUCUGCUCAGAGGACGCUUAUUUACGACUAGAAGAGAAAGACGUCUUCAGUAGAGAGGAGACAGAGUGUCCACCUCUCGUGGGUGUUUUUGUAAAAGAUUUCUCAUCCCGGUGUUCAUCAUUUGAUGUUUCCUUCAGUAUUUGUUCUCCUGGUUGUUUGAAAGGUGGAAAUGUAGAGAUAUCAAAGACAUGUUCAUUUUUUUAUGGACUCUUACCAAUAAAUGCUUCAAGAAAACA
Molecule: long non-coding RNA, 892 nt
Organism: Labrus bergylta (ballan wrasse)
Lineage: Eukaryota; Metazoa; Chordata; Actinopteri; Labriformes; Labridae
Source: RefSeq, a predicted model, not a curated record